Molecule: RNA transcript, 1330 nt
Organism: Mangifera indica (mango)
Lineage: Eukaryota; Viridiplantae; Streptophyta; Magnoliopsida; Sapindales; Anacardiaceae
Gene name: B-box zinc finger protein 32-like
Exons: 2
Source: RefSeq, a predicted model, not a curated record
UCAAGCAUCUCAAAAAGCCAGCAAUUACCUUAUUUACUUUACUCAGGUAGUACUGUAAAAGUAUUUUCUUGACCACAAGUUCAAGUUUUAUGCUCUAAUAAUACGACAGAGAAGGAACCCGAGAGAACCAAUGACAAUUUUGUCAUGUAGUUGACAUUCAUAUCGUCAUGUUAUCAUUUCCAACUCUGUGAUUUUAAUAUUUAUAUACAUUCUUAUAUACCAGCAACCUUAUAAAUUGGCUAGCUAUUUCAACCUAACUUUACUGUAAAAGUAUUUUCUUGACCACAAGUUCAAGUUUUAUGCUCUAAUAAUACGACAGAGAAAGAAACCGAGAGAACCAAUGACAAUUUUGUCAUGUAGUUGACAUUCAUAUCGUCAUGUUAUCAUUUCCAACUCUGUGAUUUUAAUAUUUAUAUACAUUCUUAUAUACCAGCAACCUUAUAAAUUGGCUAGCUAUUUCAACCGAACUUUCUAGCCUAUACACAUUCAGCUUCUAAAAUGUGCAGAGGUACCCAACAAGCUACUGGGUUCUGUUUCAAGGAUGAAGUUUCAGUUAAUGUAAACAAUACUGCUUCAUGCUGGAUUUCUUGUGAGCUUUGUGGCAUGAGGGCUUCAUUGUAUUGCCAAGCUGAUGAUGCAUAUCUAUGUAGAAACUGUGACAAAUGGGUGCAUGAAGCUAAUUUCUUAGCACGAAGACAUGUUAGAUGUUUUCUCUGCAACACAUGUCAAAGCCUCACGCAACGAUACCUCAUUGGCGUUUCGCUUCAAGUUUUGCUUCCAACAAUGAUGGUUUUCUUCUGAAUUUGCUGGCUGCUGUUCUCUUUUAGCUUGUAGGCUGUUCUUUGCUGCCAUUCUCUUUGUGCGAAGGGGUGUCAUCAUUGGUCACAUUCCAGGAAAUGUUCUGCAGUGCUAAUUCAAGGGUGGUAUAUAGUUGUGGCUCCAGCAAAUAUUCUUUAUGAAAGGGCAGGUUAAGAAUCUGCUUCUGUGGUUUGUUCCUGGUGGCUGGGUUAAUGCCUUUCUGUUUCAGGUGUGUGCAGCUUGCUGCUUGAUACUGUUGCUGGGCUUUGAUUGCUAUCUCUGGUCUCCUGCCAUGGCUGAUUGAGUUGUGUCAUGCUUAUUUCAAUAUCAGAUUGUAUUUUCUAGUAUCCGUCUGUUUUUCAGGCAGUUAUUGGUUUUAGUUUAUUUUAAGAAGGGGUUUGAAAGAUUUCUGCUAUCCUUACGAGAUGAGUUUGGGUUGUAUUUUUGUGCCCCCUUUUUUAGGGUGUUUUAAUGUUGAUAUUUACUUAAAAAAAAAAAACUUAAUUUACUCAAAUUUCUCCCUUCAGCAUCA